RNAcentral lists this unclassified non-coding RNA (1964 nucleotides) under Nyctixalus pictus (painted Indonesian treefrog). RNAcentral describes it as "partial contains 12S ribosomal RNA, tRNA-Val, and 16S ribosomal RNA". It matches the Rfam family "Bacterial large subunit ribosomal RNA", at positions 38 to 2576 of the family's 2925-position model. The record is from RNAcentral. Lineage: Eukaryota; Metazoa; Chordata; Amphibia; Anura; Rhacophoridae.
AGAUACCCCACUAUGCCUAGCCGUAAAAAAUUAAUUUACACCAAUAAACGCCAGGGAAUUACGAGCCUAGCUUAAAACCCAAAGGACUUGACGGUGUCCCACCCCACUAGAGGAGCCUGUUCUAUAACCGAUAAUCCACGAUACACCCAACCAUUUCUUGCUUUUCAGCCUGUAUACCUCCGUCGCAAGCUUGCCGUCUGAACGCAUAACAGCAGGCCCAAUGGCCAACCGCCAAAACGUCAGGUCGAGGUGCAGCUAACGAAAUGGUAAGCAAUGGGCUACAAUUUCUAAACUAGAACAAACGAAACACUACAUGAAACAUAGUCAUGAAGGCGGAUUUAGCAGUAAAUAGGGAAUAGAGAGCCCCAUUUAACCCGGCCCUGGGACGUGUACAAACCGCCCGUCACCCUCUUCGACAGUACCCCCCCCCAGCUCCCUAACCUAAACCAUACNCUAUAGAANAGGCAAGUCGAAACAUGGUAAGUAUACUGGAAAGUGUACUUGGAAUAACAAAGUGUAGCUUAAUCAAAGCCCCUCGCUUACACCGAGCAAAUGCCUGUGCAACCCAGACCAUUUUGAGCCUAUAAUCUAGCCCAAAAUCCCCCCAUAUACCAAACCCAGGAAUACCCCCAUAACAAAACAUUUUAUUUUCUUAGUAGAGGUGAUUAAAAAGUAUCUCGGCGCCUUAGAAACAGUACCGCAAGGGAAAGAUGAAAUAAAAAUGAAAUAACUUAAAGCACCCUAUAGCAGAGAUUAUACCUCGUACCUUUUGCAUCAUGGCCCAGCCAGUCCUCCCAAGCAAAAAGAAAUUUCAGCUUGCCCCCCCGAAACUAAACGAGCUACUUCAAAACAGCCUCAAGGGCCAACCCGUCUCUGUCACAAUAGAGUGGGAAGAUUUUUAAGUAGAAGUGAAAAGCCUAUCGAGUUUAGAGAUAGCUGGUUACUCAGUAAAAGAAUAUUAGUUCUGCCUUAAAUUACCCUAUGUUAAUAAACAGACCCCUACAAUUUAAGAGUUACUCAACUAAGGCACAGCUUAUUUGAAACAGGACACAACCUAGAAGAUAGGGUAAAAAUCCAACCCCAUAAAAAGUAGGCCCAAAAGCAGCCACCUUUUAAAAAGCGUUAAAGCUUCCUAUUAUCUAUUAUCCAAUCCCAAUAUACACCAUGAACCCCUCCCCCACACUGAGUGAUUUCAUAAAUAUAUGAAAGACAUAAUGCUGAGACUAGUAACAAGAAUACAACAUUCUCCUAAAUGUAAACUUAACCCAAACCGGAUACACCACUGGCAAUUAACGGAAAUGAGCCAACUACAACAACACAACAAGAAAACCCUGUAGACACCACCGUUAACCUAACACAAGGACAUUUCAGGAAAGAUUAACAGGAAAAGAAGGAACUCGGCAAAUGGCGGCCCCGCCUGUUUACCAAAAACAUCGCCUCUUGACAUCUAUAAGAGGUCCAGCCUGCCCAGUGACAUAGUUCAACGGCCGCGGUAUCCUAACCGCGCGAAGGUAGCAUAAUCACUUGUUCUUUAAAUAGGGACUUGUAUCAACGGCACCACGAGGGCUGUACUGUCUCCUUUUCCCAAUCAGUGAAACUGAUCUCCCUGUGAAAAAGCAGGAAUAACCCUAUAAGACGAGAAGACCCCAUGGAGCUUCAAACCCACCGGCAACUCAUUCACACACUCCCCCUGAACCAAAAGAGACAUGCCCGUAAGUUUUAGGUUGGGGCAACCGCGGAGUAAAAAUUAACCUCCACGACGAAAAGAACUAAACCUUUAUUCAAGAGCCACCCCUCCAGAAAUUAGUAUACUAACGUAAAAUGACCCGAUUAUCGAUCAACGAACCAAGUUACCCUGGGGAUAACAGCGCAAUCUACUUCAAGAGCCCCUAUCGACAAGUAGGCCUACGACCUCGAUGUUGGAUCAGGGCAUCCCAGUGGUGCAGCCGCUACUAAUGGUUCGU